GUCUUCGCCAUGCUACCCUGAACACGCCCGAUCUCGUCUGAUCUCGGAAGCUAAGCGAGGUCGGGCCUGGUUAGUUCUUGGAUGGGGGACCACCUAGGAAGACCGGGUGCUGUAGGCG
This 118-nucleotide ribosomal RNA is filed under the name Pteropus alecto (black flying fox). Lineage: Eukaryota; Metazoa; Chordata; Mammalia; Chiroptera; Pteropodidae. The record is from RNAcentral.